AGUGCAGAGUGACACAGACAGGCGACAGCGUCGCUGAGCACCAACUUCUAUUCCACGGAGGCAGACAGCGAAAACCAUUUCAUAACCAUGGCAAGGCAUGAGAGAAGCACAGGGUAGCUGCAAAGUUUUGGAAAAGACCUCUGCAACAACUGGAAGCACAGUGUACCCAAGUGGUGGGUCUCGUCUGUGGCAAUAUAAUUUUCUAUCUGUCCAAUUGAAUAUGGCUGUAAAGGGAAUAAAACCCCAUGUAAUCUCCAGCAGUGACAAUUUAAUCAGUUGUAUAAGGGGGAAAAAAGCAGAGUCCCCUCAUUUUCAUAUUUGCAUAUUUGAUUUUUGCAUUGGGGAAUAGAGGUUUUGUUUUUCUAUUACUUUGCAUUCAAUUUUAAUAUUUAAUCUUUUUAUGAGCAAAUUUUUAUAGUGGUAUGUAAUACUGAGUCAGACAGGUCUAAAAUAGAAAGGAAAGAUUCCAUUUCUGAAAUCAAGCCCCUGAUCCAAUAUGCUUUGUGUAACAUUUUUCCUUGUACAGAAUCUAUGUGCCUAACAUGGCUUGCAUGCUCCCAGCUUCUGCACGUGAUGCAUCUGCUAUUAACAUUCAGAGAUUCACCCUGAAAAUGAAGGCAACUGUUUGGAGAACAAUGUAAAAUGAUGAGAAUAGACCAUCCUAUGACCCCCUUUUUACAUUAAUAUUUCUUAAAAUGGUAAAUCUUAUUGAUUGCAUCUAUUUCCAAGGAAGUAGGGUUUCUUAAAUGCUUUAUAUACACAGGAGCCAGUUUUUAUGAGGUUAUAGAGGAGCAGUAAAUACAGUAAGAUUAAUAAAACUUCGUUGUUUUCACAAUUGACAGAAUGAUAUUAUUGCCUAUAGGGUAAUAACAGCUUAUGGGAUUGAUUUUAAGAUGAAUAAGAUGCAAGUAAUUCGAACUUAUCAUCAAUUACCCUUGGUUACUCCCAUGAGUAUGUAUCUAGCCAAAAUGGUGUUGGAUUUGAAUUACUGGGACAUAGAUAGCUGUUUCUUUAUGCAUCAAUGCAUUCUAGCCUCCACUUGCGAAAACUCCAAAAGUAUGUUGGGUAAUUUAAAAAAAUAAGGAUAGUACUCUACUUGCUUAAUGAUUUAGAAUUUCUUUAUAAAAAGUGAACUCUGAAGUCAAUAUUUCACUGGAGAGGGAAAGAAUAAUGAUUUUAAUUCUAUGUAAUUUUUUUAAAGCUUAAAAACAAGUUUUGAAAUGUUUUAUGUACUAAAUUUAAUCUAUGUACAUAUUUACACACACAUAUAUAUACAUGUGUAUAUGUGUGCCUGCAUAUAUGUGUGUGUAUGUGUGAUGUGUGUGUGUAUAUAAAUGUGGCCUAAAUGUUGCCAACCAAAUUUUAUGAGCAAUAACUACAUUUGGAAUUGUGAAAAUAUGAGCCAUAGGAUUUUAUUCAAAAACAGAGCAGUGAGUCUUUUUAAUGUACAUCUAUGAAAAGCAUACCAGUAGCAGUAUACAGGCAUCAUUAGAUGACAGGUAUAAAAUCCUUUGGGCAAGCACUGAUGCACAUUAAAUUCAAGUACAUAAUAUGUCAAGUUUUGAGUAUGUUCUUGUUUAUUUAAAUCUGCAUUCUGAUGAUGAUCUUUUCAAAGAGAUUGCAUAUAUAUGAAUAUGUGAUCUAGUGUUUACAUAUUCAAAUUAACCUGUUUCUUUGAAUAUGGUCUAAUGAUUGAAUGAUCUCCCAAACAUGGCAACUCCUCAGGGAAAUAUAUUGAUGCCUCAGCAUAUUUCCUCAAGGCCUGGAGAGUACUAGAUAUGACAAGGAGUGCCUUCAAGCAUGGAAGCCCUGCUCUACCUAAACGAAAGUCCUAGGCUUUAAUCACAAAGGCUAGGUUCACACUAAUGCAAUUAACCAUAUGAUUGCUUUCGAAGGAGCCUAACCUCAUCAGCAUCUUUCCUUUAGGCAAACUGACAAUGCUGGAUCUAGUCAAUGACUCAAGAGAAUUUGAUUAGCUAAGAGGUACAAGGCUCUGCAUAUGCAGUCACAAAUGCACAGUAGGAAUGUUCAUCUCCAACCUAUCAUUUCACAAUCAACUAUAAAUUUAAGCAAUUAAGGUAAAAUAAUUGUUCCAUGAAAUAAUUAAGAGUUGACAAUUAUCAGGAUGAAGGUGAAGACUACAUCCAAAUGAAAAUGAUCUGUUUUAUAGUUUGUUUGUUUGUUUGUUUAUUUAUUGGGUUGUGUGCUUGUUUUGUUUUGUUUGAGGGAGGAUGGGAGAGGGCCAUGAUAGUUAAAACUAAAAAUAAGAUUUACUUGGAGAACUGAUGAGGCACAGUGGCUCACUCCUGUAAUCCCUGCAUUUUGAGAGGCCAAGGCAGGUGGAUCACCUGAGGUAAGGAGUUUGAGACCAGCCUGGCCAACAUGAUGAGACCCUGUCUCUAUUAAAAAUACAAAAAAUUAGCCAGGCAUGGUGGUGGGUGCCUGUAAUCCUAGCUACUCUGGAGACUGAGGCAGGACAAUAACUUGAACCCGGGAGGCGAAGGUUGCAGUGAGCCGAGAUCACACCAAUGCACUCCAGCCUGGUCAACAAGAGUAAAACUCAGUCUCAUGAAUUAAAACAUAAUGAAUUAAACCAAAUACGCGAGUAGUCAUGCUCAAGCUUGGAAACCUUCUGCUGGAACUUGAAAUGGGAAGGGCAUGGUGCAGAGGGCAGAAAGAAGACAAAGAACGAAGAUAAAAGAAGCCUUUUUCCUCAAGAAGAUUGUAAUCUAGUGGUGGAGCUGGAAAAUAAAGGAAAGCAGUGGCCAUGUAUGUCAUGAGGACAUUCCAGUAACCCCAUGUGGUAAGGAACCAAGUCAGCCUGCCAACAACCACUGAAAAACUGAGCCCUCCUGCUGACAGCCAUGUGAGAGGAACACCUGGGAAGUGGAUCCUCCAGGCCUGGUCAUACUUCAGAUGACUG
This 2923-nucleotide long non-coding RNA is filed under the name Homo sapiens (human). RNAcentral describes it as "HSALNT0061882". Lineage: Eukaryota; Metazoa; Chordata; Mammalia; Primates; Hominidae. The record is from RNAcentral.